This 253-nucleotide ribosomal RNA is filed under the name uncultured bacterium. RNAcentral's name for it is "partial 16S ribosomal RNA". It matches the Rfam family "Bacterial small subunit ribosomal RNA", at positions 524 to 776 of the family's 1533-position model. The record is from RNAcentral.
UACGAAGGGGGCUAGCGUUGCUCGGAAUCACUGGGCGUAAAGCGUGCGCAGGCGGUUCGUUGUGUCGGCGGGGAAAGCCCCGGGCUUAACCUGGGAAUGGCCGUCGAAACUGGCGAACUGGAGUGUGGCAGAGGGGGGUGGAAUUCCGCGUGUAGCAGUGAAAUGCGUAGAGAUGCGGAGGAACACCGAUGGCGAAGGCAGCCCCCUGGGCUGACACUGACGCUCAGGCACGAAAGCGUGGGGAGCAAACAGG